UACGUAGGGUGCAAGCGUUGUCCGGAAUUAUUGGGCGUAAAGCGCACGCAGGCGGUCUGCUAAGUUUGGAGUGACAGUUGGUGGCUUAACUGCCAAAGUGCUUCGAAAACUGGCAGACUUGAGGGCUUCAGAGGGACACGGAAUUCCGGGUGGAGUGGUGAAAUGCGUAGAGAUCCGGAGGAACACCAAAGGCGAAGGCAGUGUCCUGGGGAGUACCUGACGCUCAGGUGCGAAAGCCAGGGGAGCGAACGGG
RNAcentral lists this ribosomal RNA (253 nucleotides) under uncultured bacterium. RNAcentral describes it as "partial 16S ribosomal RNA". It matches the Rfam family "Bacterial small subunit ribosomal RNA", at positions 524 to 776 of the family's 1533-position model. The record is from RNAcentral.